GCUGCAGAUUCCAAUAAAUAUCGCACAAGAUCUAAGUGUCCCUCUUGCGCGGCCUCCAUCAAAGGCGUCGAUGCACCCAAUUCUAUAUCUGCUCCCGCCUUAAUUAAAAAAUCGGCAAUUUCCAGAAAACCGCCACAACAAGCCAAGGUAAGCGCCGUUUCUUGAGUUUCCUCAGUUUGGGCAUUGAUGUUUGCACCUA
Long non-coding RNA from Cataglyphis hispanica, 199 nucleotides. RefSeq lists it as uncharacterized. The transcript has 2 exons. NCBI's taxonomy places the organism in Eukaryota, Metazoa, Arthropoda, Insecta, Hymenoptera, Formicidae. The record is from RefSeq and is a predicted model, not a curated record.